Molecule: ribosomal RNA, 253 nt
Filed under: uncultured bacterium
Lineage: Bacteria
Description: partial 16S ribosomal RNA
Rfam family: Bacterial small subunit ribosomal RNA
Source: RNAcentral
UACAGAGAGUGCAAGCGUUAAUCGGAAUUACUGGGCGUAAAGCGCACGUAGGUGGAUAAUUAAGUCGGAUGUGAAAUCCCUGGGCUCAACCUAGGAACUGCACCCGAUACUGGUUGUCUAGAGUAUAGUAGAGGGAAGUGGAAUUUCUGGUGUAGCGGUGAAAUGCGUAGAUAUCAGAAAGAACACCAGUGGCGAAGGCGGCUUCCUGGACUAAUACUGACACUGAGGUGCGAAAGCGUGGGGAGCAAACAGG